UACGAAGGGGGCUAGCGUUGCUCGGAAUCACUGGGCGUAAAGCGCACGUAGGCGGGUCGUUAAGUCGGGGGUGAAGUCCUGGAGCUCAACUCCAGAACUGCCUUCGAUACUGGCGAUCUUGAGUCUGGGGGAGGUGAGUGGAACUCCGAGUGUAGAGGUGAAAUUCGUAGAUAUUCGGAAGAACACCAGUGGCGAAGGCGGCUCACUGGCCCGGUACUGACGCUGAGGUGCGAAAGCGUGGGGAGCAAACAGG
RNAcentral lists this ribosomal RNA (253 nucleotides) under uncultured bacterium. RNAcentral describes it as "partial 16S ribosomal RNA". It matches the Rfam family "Bacterial small subunit ribosomal RNA", at positions 524 to 776 of the family's 1533-position model. The record is from RNAcentral.